This 447-nucleotide ribosomal RNA is filed under the name uncultured bacterium. Its description in RNAcentral is "bacterial SSU rRNA". It matches the Rfam family "Bacterial small subunit ribosomal RNA", at positions 330 to 793 of the family's 1533-position model. The record is from RNAcentral.
UCCAGACUCCUACGGGAGGCAGCAGUGGGGAAUAUUGCACAAUGGGGGAAACCCUGAUGCAGCAACGCCGCGUGAGUGAAGAAGUAUUUCGGUAUGUAAAGCUCUAUCAGCAGGGAAGAAGAAAGACGGUACCUGACUAAGAAGCCCCGGCUAACUACGUGCCAGCAGCCGCGGUAAUACGUAGGGGGCAAGCGUUAUCCGGAUUUACUGGGUGUAAAGGGAGCGUAGACGGCUGUGCAAGUCUGAAGUGAAAGCCCGCGGCUCAACCGCGGAACUGCUUUGGAAACUGUAUAGCUUGAGUACUGGAGAGGCAGGCGGAAUUCCUAGUGUAGCGGUGAAAUGCGUAGAUAUUAGGAGGAACACCAGUGGCGAAGGCGGCCUGCUGGACAGAAACUGACGUUGAGGCUCGAAAGCGUGGGGAGCAAACAGGAUUAGAUACCCGUGUAA